GGAAGGGGGCGCCCGUCAGAGAAGGGGGCAAAGGGGGUGCCCACCAGAGAAGGGAGUGCCCACCAGAGAAGGGGGCAAAGGGAGUGCCCAUCAGAGAAAGGGGGACAAGGUGAGGGGCUGUCAGAAUGGGGGGACGAGCCUUCCACCAGACAGCCCCUCCCAACUAGCCUCCCCAAGCUCCUCUGAUGGGAGCACAGGCUCUGGCCCCUUCACCCCGUGGCCAUCCCUUGACGGACCUCCGGUCUCCGAGCCAGGACUGGUCCCCAUACUCCAGAUAAAGUCUGACAAGACCCAAGUUGAGGAAUUCUCGGUUGCGAUCGACCUGCUCUAUCACCCCACUGUCUCUGACGGGGGUCCAUUAAGACCCCCAGGGUUUUCCCGAAUAAUGCCGGCUAGCCGGGCCCCCCGUCUUGGACCCCGGGGCGAGGCCGUGUAUGUGAGUGAGUCUCAUUGUGCCGUUAGAGCCGCUCUCCUCUCGACAGCCUUUUGAAUCUUGGCGAUCACUCGGGCAGUUGGCGAGCAAUGGCUAAGCACCUACUGUGUGCCAGGCAGGCCCUGGGAGGACAGACGGGGAAGCAGGCCCCGGGCACCUACAUGGAGUCCGGGCUUCCAGAAGGGCGCUUCGGGACCCUCGGAUCUCAGCCUCGGGCCCCUCCAAAGCCGGCCUGGGUGACCCGGGGAGGCGGCCCCGGGCGAGAGGCCCUGGGCCCGGUCACCGCCCUGCGGGACCGCGGUCAGUCCGUCAGCGGGCGCCCAGCAUCCGCCCAGGAACGCGCGGGAGCCCGGCCCGGCCUCCGGAGCUGCCCCCGUGGGAGGCCCCAGUGCACGGCAGGGCUUCAGGAGACACGGCUAAUCAGACUUUAAUGGGAUGAACACAAAGUAUUUUUAUGACUGCAAGAAGAUUACAGCAGGCCCCAAAGCUUCCAGGCCCCGGGGGCCCCCGCUAAUGGGAUUUGGCCCGAGACCCAGCUCAGCACCCCGGGCCCCGGGGGACUGAAUGUUCUUGGCUGUGGGAGGAGGCUCGAGCUUCCAGCUGGCUCCAGACCCGAGGGCCUCCUCGAGCAUGAGAGAGACCCCCCCGGAGAAUGUCGGGACAGGGGGGCCUGAGAGCAGGGGAGCCAGAGAGGAGAACGGGGGAGUCGGAGAGGAAAUGAGCUUAGAGCAGGGGAAGUAAGAGAGGAAAGGGCUUAGAACAGGGGAAGUCAGAGAGAAGAGGGGCUUAGAACAGGGGAAGUAAGAGAGAAGAGGGGCUUAGAACAGGGGAAGUAAGAGAGAAGAGGGGCUUAGAACAGGGGAAGUAAGAGAGAAGAGGGGCUUAGAACAGGGGAAUCAGAGAGGAAAGGGGCUUAGAACAGGGGAGUCAGAGAGGAAAGGGCUUAGAACAGGGGAGUCAGAGAGAAAGGGGCUUAGAACAGGGGAAUCAGAGAGGAAAGGGCUUAGAACAGGGGAAGUAAGAGAGAAGAGGGGCUUAGAACAGGGGAAGUAAGAGAGGAAAGGGGCUUAGAACAGGGGAGUCAGAGAGGAAAGGGCUUAGAACAGGGGAAGUAAGAGAGGAAAGGGGCUUAGAACAGGGGAAGUAAGAGAGAAGAGGGGCUUAGAACAGGGGAAGUAAGAGAGAAGAGGGGCUUAGAACAGGGGAAGUAAGAGAGAAGAGGGGCUUAGAACAGGGGAAGUAAGAGAGAAGAGGGGCUUAGAACAGGGGAAGUAAGAGAGAAGAGGGGCUUAGAACAGGGGAAGUAAGAGAGGAAAGGGGCUUAGAACAGGGGAGUCAGAGAGGAAAGGGCUUAGAACAGGGGAAGUAAGAGAGAAGAGGGGCUUAGAACAGGGGAAGUAAGAGAGAAGAGGGGCUUAGAACAGGGGAAGUAAGAGAGAAGAGGGGCUUAGAACAGGGGAAGUAAGAGAGGAAAGGGCUUAGAACAGGGGAGUCAGAGAGGAAAGGGGCUUAAACAGGGGAGUCAGAGAGGAAAGGGGCUUAGAACAGGGGAGUCAGAGAGGAAAGGGGCUUAAACAGGGGAGUCAGAGAGGAAAGGGGCUUAGAACAGGGGAAGUAAGAGAGGAAAGGGGCUUAGAACAGGGGAGUCAGAGAGGAAAGGGCUUAGAACAGGGGAGUCAGAGAGGAAAGGGGCUUAGAACAGGGGAAUCAGAGAGGAAAGGGGCUUAGAACAGGGGAGUCAGAGAGGAAAGGGGCUUAGAACAGGGGAGUCAGAGAGGAAAGGGCUUAGAACAGGGGAGUCAGGGCUGGGAGGGGCCUCUAUCUCUAACUUUGGGAGUCUGGAGGCCCGGCCUCUGACACUUGGUAGCCGUGCACUUGGGCAUCAGUCUCUUUGCCUGUGUGGCGUGUGGCGAGUCGGCCCCCGAGGAGCAGCGAGGGGCUCCGGGGCCUGGGUCUCAGUGGGCUUGAAGUCAGGCCUUACUGAGCACAUGACUUGACCUCCCCGGGCCUCAGUUUCCCCACCAGGAACACCAGGGGCCAGACUCCCAGGGGGCCCCGCUGCCCCCCGCCUCCAAAGGCCAAGAGGGACUGGGGCUGGUGGGUGGGGGCCGGGCCCU
Antechinus flavipes (yellow-footed antechinus) is the source of this 2550-nucleotide long non-coding RNA. RefSeq lists it as uncharacterized. The transcript is spliced from 4 exons. NCBI's taxonomy places the organism in Eukaryota, Metazoa, Chordata, Mammalia, Dasyuromorphia, Dasyuridae. The record is from RefSeq and is a predicted model, not a curated record.